CCUAAAUGUUGGUUUCUUCAUCAAGCGGCGGAAUAACGCAUCAGGGCAGGUGACCCACGUCACCGGGGUGAUGCACUGGUGCUCGCCGGGGCGGGCGCUGUGCCUGCGGGAGCCGCGCGGCCGGCGCGGUGUCGGGGCGCCUCAUGGGGGCCGAGCCGCGCCCGCACGUCCCUCAGAACUCUCAGUGAGUGUCAGAUCAACACAUUCAUCCACCAUAUCCCGUGUGUAAAGAACAAUCCAUCACUCCUGACCUAAUCCAGCACAGAACAGAACUUCUGGAAGAGGACUAAAGAAGAGAAAGAGUGGAAGUGUCACAUGCCCAGAGGAAAAUAGAUGCGACAGAGAUGAAUAAAACAAAACAAA
RNAcentral lists this long non-coding RNA (363 nucleotides) under Pan troglodytes (chimpanzee). RNAcentral's name for it is "long non-coding RNA NONPTRT003090". Lineage: Eukaryota; Metazoa; Chordata; Mammalia; Primates; Hominidae. The record is from RNAcentral.